RNAcentral lists this ribosomal RNA (496 nucleotides) under uncultured bacterium. RNAcentral describes it as "partial 16S ribosomal RNA". It matches the Rfam family "Bacterial small subunit ribosomal RNA", at positions 29 to 523 of the family's 1533-position model. The record is from RNAcentral.
AACGAACGCUGGCGGCAGGCUUAACACAUGCAAGUCGAACGCAUCCUUCGGGGUGAGUGGCAGACGGGUGAGUAACGCGUGGGAACGUGCCCUGUUGAUCGGGACAACCCGGGGAAACCCGGGCUAAUACCGAAUGUGGUGCCGGCUCAUGAGAGCCGUCACGCAAGGAAGCUUCGGCCUCCGCGACAGGAUGGGCCCGCGGCCCAUUAGCUUGUUGGUGGGGUAAUGGCCUAACAAGGCAACGAUGGGUAGCUGGUCUGAGAGGACGAUCAGCCACACUGGGACUGAGACACGGCCCAGACUCCUACGGGAGGCUGCAGUGGGGAAUCUUGCGCAAUGAGCGACAGCUUGACGCAGCAACGCCGCGUGGGGGAAGAAGGCUUUCGGGUCGUAAACCCCUUUCAGUUAGGACGAAGCUUUAUUGGUUAAUAACCAAUUGGAGUGACGGUACUUUCAGAAGAAGCCCCGGCUAACUACGUGCCAGCAGCCGCAGUAA